CCUACGGGGGGCAGCAGUGGGGAAUAUUGCGCAAUGGGGGCAACCCUGACGCAGCCAUGCCGCGUGUGUGAAGAAGGCCUUCGGGUUGUAAAGCACUUUAAGUGGGGAGAAAAGGGUAGCCGUUAAUAGCGUCUACCUGUGAUGUUACCCACAGAAUAAGCACCGGCUAACUCCGUGCCAGCAGCCGCGGUAAUACGGAGGGUGCGAGCGUUAAUCGGAAUUACUGGGCGUAAAGCGCGCGUAGGCGGUUUGUUAAGUCAGCUGUGAAAGCCCCGGGCUCAACCUGGGAACUGCAGUUGAUACUGGCCGACUAGAGUACGAGAGAGGGAGGUAGAAUUCCAUGUGUAGCGGUGAAAUGCGUAGAUAUAUGGAGGAAUACCGGUGGCGAAGGCGGCCUCCUGGCUCGAUACUGACGCUGAGGUGCGAAAGCGUGGGGAUCAAACAGGAUUAGAUACCCCAGUAGUC
RNAcentral lists this ribosomal RNA (465 nucleotides) under uncultured bacterium. RNAcentral's name for it is "bacterial SSU rRNA". It matches the Rfam family "Bacterial small subunit ribosomal RNA", at positions 338 to 795 of the family's 1533-position model. The record is from RNAcentral.